Molecule: ribosomal RNA, 98 nt
Filed under: Microcebus murinus (gray mouse lemur)
Lineage: Eukaryota; Metazoa; Chordata; Mammalia; Primates; Cheirogaleidae
Source: RNAcentral
GUCUAUGGCCAUACCACCCUGAACACACCCAAUCUCAUCUGAUGUCAGAAGCUAAGCAGGGUCAGGCCUGGUUAGUACUUGGAUGGCAGAAAUAGGUU